CGCCUGGCUCCUUGUAUGCCA
This 21-nucleotide microRNA is filed under the name Physcomitrium patens. Its description in RNAcentral is "ppt-miR160h". Its record names the gene ppt-miR160h. Lineage: Eukaryota; Viridiplantae; Streptophyta; Bryopsida; Funariales; Funariaceae. The record is from miRBase by way of RNAcentral.